ACAGGAAGCAGCCUGCUGCUUCGCUGACGAGUGGCGGACGGGUGAGUAAUGUCUGGGAAACUGCCUGAUGGAGGGGGAUAACUACUGGAAACGGUAGCUAAUACCGCAUAACGUCGCAAGACCAAAGAGGGGGACCUUCGGGCCUCUUACCAUCGGAUGUGCCCAGAUGGGAUUAGCUAGUAGGUGGGGUAACGGCUCACCUAGGCGACGAUCCCUAGCUGGUCUGAGAGGAUGACCAGCCACACUGGAACUGAGACACGGUCCAGACUCCUACGGGAGGCAGCAGUGGGGAAUAUUGCACAAUGGGCGCAAGCCUGAUGCAGCCAUGCCGCGUGUAUGAAGAAGGCCUUCGGGUUGUAAAGUACUUUCAGCGGGGAGGAAGGCGAUAAGGUUAAUAACCUUGUCGAUUGACGUUACCCGCAGAAGAAGCACCGGCUAACUCCGUGCCAGCAGCCGCGGUAAUACGGAGGGUGCAAGCGUUAAUCGGAAUUACUGGGCGUAAAGCGCACGCAGGCGGUCUGUCAAGUCGGAUGUGAAAUCCCCGGGCUCAACCUGGGAACUGCAUUCGAAACUGGCAGGCUAGAGUCUUGUAGAGGGGGGUAGAAUUCCAGGUGUAGCGGUGAAAUGCGUAGAGAUCUGGAGGAAUACCG
RNAcentral lists this ribosomal RNA (650 nucleotides) under uncultured Pseudomonadota bacterium. RNAcentral's name for it is "bacterial SSU rRNA". It matches the Rfam family "Bacterial small subunit ribosomal RNA", at positions 69 to 711 of the family's 1533-position model. The record is from RNAcentral. Lineage: Bacteria; Pseudomonadati; Pseudomonadota.